This 442-nucleotide ribosomal RNA is filed under the name uncultured bacterium. Its description in RNAcentral is "partial 16S ribosomal RNA". It matches the Rfam family "Bacterial small subunit ribosomal RNA", at positions 338 to 795 of the family's 1533-position model. The record is from RNAcentral.
CCUACGGGUGGCAGCAGUGGGGAAUAUUGGUCAAUGGGCGCAAGCCUGACCCAGCAACGCCGCGUGAAGGAAGAAGGCUCUCGGGUUGUUAACCUCUUUUUAUAGGGAAGAGCAGAAGACGGUACCUGUCGAAUAAGCUACGGCUAACUACGUGGCAGCAGCCGCGGUAAUACGGAGGUGGCAAGCGUUGUCCGGAUUUACUGGGUGUAAAGGGCGUGUAGCCGGGCUGAGAAGGCAGUUGUGAAAUCUGGGGGCUCAACCCCCGAACUGCAUUUGAAACUGUUGGUCUUGAGUAUCGGAGAGGCAGGCGGAAUUCGUGGUGUAGCGGUGAAAUGCGUAGAUAUUAGGAAGAAUACCGGUGGCGAAGGCAGCCUACUGGACGGCAACUGACGGUGAGGCGCGAAAGCGUGGGGAGCAAACAGGAUUAGAUACCCUUGUAGUC